Molecule: ribosomal RNA, 312 nt
Filed under: Triticum aestivum (bread wheat)
Lineage: Eukaryota; Viridiplantae; Streptophyta; Magnoliopsida; Poales; Poaceae
Description: partial small subunit ribosomal RNA
Source: RNAcentral
AUGAAAAUGUGCAUGCCACUGUUACUACCGGCCUCUGGUGUCAUUCACUUUGUCAUGUCUGAGGGUCAGGCCAUGCAGGCGAGUGGCCUCAUAGCAAGGUGGGAUCUUGUUGGCCCAUCUUCUGGUAGGAGCGCUGAACCAUUUCAUGGCACUUUUCCAAAACUUGAACCUCCAACUGCUAUUUCUGGCAAAGUUCAUCAAAAGUUUGCUGCAAGUGCGAAUUCUGCGCACAUGAUCCUUGCAGGAUAUGAACGUAGUAUCAAUCACGUUCCUGGCUGUGCCUUCUCUUUCAGGUUGUACAAGAUUUGCUAA